UUCGUAGGCGGUUGGUUAAGUUAGAUGUGAAAGCCCCGGGCUUAACCUGGGAACUGCAUUUAAUACUGGCUAACUAGAGUUUAGGAGAGGGAAGUGGAAUUUCAGGUGUAGCAGUGAAAUGCGUAGAGAUCUGAAGGAACACCAGUGGCGAAGGCGACUUCCUGGACUAAAACUGACGCUGAGGAACGAAAGCGUGGGUAGCAAACAGGAUUAGAUACCCUGGUAGUCC
RNAcentral lists this ribosomal RNA (229 nucleotides) under uncultured bacterium. Its description in RNAcentral is "partial 16S ribosomal RNA". It matches the Rfam family "Bacterial small subunit ribosomal RNA", at positions 568 to 796 of the family's 1533-position model. The record is from RNAcentral.